CGAACUUUGGAGCCCAAGGCUUUCUUUAGAUAGGUGCGGAGAAGAGAUAUUGAAAACUAAAAAUAGAAAAGAUCUCCUACGGCUAGCCGUGUCUGAUUCUCCGCCCAUGGAGAACAGCGGAGCACAAUACCCCUUCCCUCAUCGCUCUCUUCCACUCUCUCCUGUUCCUUCCCGCCAAUUCAAAUCCCUCCCGCCGAAUCCCGCGAACUCUCCCGCCAUCUCUUUGCUCGCCAAGGCCACCCACCCCUCCCACCUCCCCCAGAUCCACGCCCACCUCGUCAAGACCGGCGCUGCCCGCAAUAACUUCUACGUCUCCAAGCUACUCUCCCUCCUCCUCCGCUUCCGCUGCCUCGCCGACGCCCGCCGCCUCCUUGACCACGCCGACCGGCCCAACGCCCUCCUGUGGAAUACCCUCCUCAAGGCAUAUGCCCACGAUGGCCUCUUCUUUGAAGCCCUCUCUCUUUACAAACAAAUGCUUCGAAGUGGAGUCACCCCUGACUUCUAUACCUUCCCCUUUGUCCUCAAAGCCUGUGAAGUCCUUUCCAUUGGAUGUUCGAUCCAUAGCUCGAUCGUAAAGCUUGGUGUUGAGACCAAUCUUCAUGUUCAAAAUUCAUUGAUUGCUUUUUACUGCAAAUGUUUUGCCAUCAAGCUGGCUCAGAAGAUGUUUGAUGACAUGGAUGAGAGAGAUUUGGUUUCAUAUACUUCGAUGAUCUCAGGCUAUGCUAAGGUUGAGGACAUGGAGCGUGCGUUGCUGCUGUUUGAGGCAAUGCCAGAGAGGGAUUUUGUGUCAUGGGGAGCUAUUAUUUCAGGGUUCAUUCAGAAUGGUUGCCCUGAAGAAGCUUUGUUUCUCUUUCGGGAGAUGCAGUUGUCUGGGGCUCCCCUGAGCGAAGUUGCGAUUGUCAGUGGUAUUUCUUCAUGUGCGAGCUUGGGGUUGAGGAGUUUGGGGCUCUGGCUGCAUGCUCUUAUGGUUAGGCAUGGUCUCGAGAUGAGCGUCUUUGUGGGCACAGCGCUUGUUGACAUGUAUGGCAAGUGUGGGGACUUGGAUAAUGCUCGUCGGAUGUUUCACUUGAUGACUGAAAAGAGUGUGGCCUCUUGGAAUGCUUUGAUUGGUGGACUCUCUGCGAAUGGAUGUGUUGAGGAAGCCCUAUUGGUCUUUGAAGAGAUGAUGAGAAUGGGAGUCAAACCCAAUUCCGUUACUCUGUCUUGCAUUCUAUCUGCUUGUAGACAUGGAGGACUCGUCAAGAAGGGGCAGUACUAUUUUGAGUACUUGAGUAAGGAGUAUGGGAUUUUGCUGAAUUUGGAUCACUAUGGAUGUAUGGUUGAUUUACUGGGGCGAGCAGGGCUUGUGCAUGAGGCUUAUGAAUUGAUUUGCAUGAUGCCAAUGGAGCCCAACGAGAUAGUCUGGGGAGCACUGUUGGGAGCUUGUAAGGUUCACAAAAAUCUUGAACUGGCAGAACAAGCACUCAAGAGGCUUGUGGAGCUUGACCCGAGGAAUGGUGGGAACUAUGUGCUACUCUCUAACAUGUAUGCCGAGCUUGGUAGGUGGGAGGAUGUUGAGAGGGUGAGAGUCAUGAUGAGAGAUCAUGGAGUGGAGAAAACCCGAGGUUGUAGCUCUAUUGAGGUGGAUAGUGUGGUUCAUGAGUUUAAUUCAGGUCUUCAGUCCCAUCCUAAUGCUUCAAAAAGUGUACAAGAAGUUUGAAAAAUGGUAUAGCAGAAUGGUAUCUCAAAUUUACAGUAAAAUGGAGGUUGCUAUGCAAGCAAGCACUUUGUACACCAUGCAGGGGGCAGCAAUAACAGCAGUUAAAAUCAGCUGGUCUACUCCUUGAGGAUCUGAACUGCAUUACUGUUGUCCAGUGCUCGGGUGAAGGUGGAGUUGAAAGAUUAGGAGACAGGACUGGUUUGAUGGUGUGGCACUGAAAGCAACCUUCUUUGGUCAGCUGCUGAGAGAGGUUCCCACAUGCCACAGCUGGUCAUCCCUGAGAGCGACCAACUGCCUAAAGACCUUGUCUUAUGGGAGGGGGGUCUGAUACUAGAGGCACUGCCUAUAGCUUUCUCCCAACCACAACCACCUUGUGAUCUAUUUGCAUUUCUUGCCUUAUAUUACAUUAAGAGCAAUCGAAUGGCAAUAAUUUGAGGGCACAGUGUAUCCCAGCCACCAAAUAAUUCCAUCUUAUUUGCAUUUGUUAAUCAAAUUAGGUUAGGUUCAAUGAAAUAAAGCACUUCUUGAUGGUUCAUCUGGUCCCUUAAUGGGAGAGUUGGUGUGUUUGGAUUUGAUCUAGGGGAAUGAGAAGAAAGAGCUUAUAUCUGUCCUCAUAUAGCUCCUGCUGUAAAUGGAAACUAAAACAACGAAUGUGAGAACCACCAACCGAUGCCUCUGUCCGUGCUGAUAAAUUUUUGCAGAGCCUUAUAAAGGUUUAUUUUUGCCGGCUUCAGCUCCUUUGGUGUCUCUAGUGGUGGUACAAUUCACUAGGGUUACUAUGUUGCGCAACUAAGAUUCAUCGGCGGAGCGCACUAUGUGAGAAAAUGAAUGAUUUUGCAAAGGGGACAAUCAGAAGAGUGUGAUUUUGGCCUCUAUUUUGUCAUUUGGCUGCUAUUACAUGAAAUUAUCCUUGGUACCAUGAUUCUUCUACUUGGCUGUGGUACUAGUGUCACAUCAAUAGCUAACCUGAACAACUUCUGGUAAAUUAAGAAUCUUCUGUAAUUUUCUCUAUGAAAAAGGUAAAAUGCUCAUACAUAAGAUUCUAAAAAUGCCAGAAAAUAUACUUUGGAGGAAUAGAAAUAUUGUUACCAUCAUUGUUUUCGAGAAGGUUGUUACCAUCAUUAGUAUUUGUUACUGUCAUUGUUUUCAAGAAGAUGGUUACUGUCAUUAGCUAUCAUUUGAAGUAGUAGAAAUAUUUGUUGCUAUCAUUGUUUUUGAGAAGAUUGUUAAUGUCAUUAUUGUUAUUGCCCACUACUUGCUGAUGAUCCAUCUCUAUUAUGACGAACAACCCACCAAGCCACGUUGUCCAAUGGCACUAUUAUAAGGACAAUCCAACAAAUAAGUUUCAAAAUAAAACAACAAGAACUGGGAAACGAAGAAUAACCCUUUUGUCUGCAUUAGGUUUUUAGGGCUUUCUUCUCAACCCUUAUUUUAGGCGACAGAAAACAUUGUCCACUUCAAUGUGCACAUCCCAAGUCGAUUGCAUCAUUCAUAACUGCUCAAUAGUUGCUUCUUCUCUUACUUGUGUCCAUAGAAUUAGGCGAUUCUUCUCACUGCAUGCAGAUUAAAAUUGUCUACUAACAGCACCCUAGCAAAUUUUAUCUUCAUGAAUAGGUACUUUGCAAUACUUUGAUGUAACUCCCAACUAAUCCUUGAUAAGGUCCUUCUAUUCUUUUCCAUCCUAGUAAAAAUAAUGAUAGCUACUCUUUUGGGAUCUUUUGAUGAUUGAGUUUGCUAACUGCAAGAUCAGAAAGAGAUGAAAGCGGAAUCCAUUAGUUGGAAAGAGAUAGGUGAUAGAUAUAUAUAAUCCGUGCCUCUUGCAGCAAGUGCCUAAUCUGGCGUGUUCAUCUGAUGGUAAAAUAAUUUAUGGUGAAUGUCUCCUUGGACAUAUUUUCAUCUAUGUUGUUGAGUGGACCUAUUAUUUCAUUACAAAAUUCUUUAUCUUGAAAAUUAUUGCAGUGUAGUUAUUACUCAAAUGCACGUAACAAUACUCUUAUUGUAUUUCUAGACAGAUUGAU
Non-coding RNA from Elaeis guineensis (African oil palm), 3717 nucleotides. The record is from RefSeq and is a predicted model, not a curated record. Lineage: Eukaryota; Viridiplantae; Streptophyta; Magnoliopsida; Arecales; Arecaceae.